CCUACGGGUGGCAGCAGUGAGGAAUAUUGCUCAAUGGGGGCAACCCUGACGCAGCAACGCCGCGUGAUUGAAGAAUGCCUUCUGGUUGUAAAGAUCUUUAAUCGUGGACAUAUUUUGACGGUACCCUAAUAAUACGCUCCUGCUAACUACGUGCCAGCAGCCGCGGUAAUACGUAGGGAGCAAGCGUUAUCCGGAUUUACUGGGUGUAAAGGGCGUGUAGGCGGGCAUGCAAGUCAGAAGUGAAAUCUGGGGGCUUAACCCCAAAACUGCUUUUGGAACUGGGUGUCUUGAGUGAUGGAGAGGUAGGCGGAAUUCGUAGUGUAGCGGUGAAAUGCGUAGAUAUUAGGAGGAACACCAGUGGCGAAGGCGGCUUACUGGACUGUAACUGACGUUGAGGCUCGAAAGCGUGGGGAGCAAACAGGAUUAGAUACCCGAGUAGUC
RNAcentral lists this ribosomal RNA (441 nucleotides) under uncultured bacterium. RNAcentral's name for it is "partial 16S ribosomal RNA". It matches the Rfam family "Bacterial small subunit ribosomal RNA", at positions 338 to 795 of the family's 1533-position model. The record is from RNAcentral.